RNAcentral lists this small RNA (29 nucleotides) under Bombyx mori (domestic silkworm). RNAcentral's name for it is "ovarian small RNA-35554". The record is from RNAcentral. Lineage: Eukaryota; Metazoa; Arthropoda; Insecta; Lepidoptera; Bombycidae.
UGUCAAAAUCAGUGGCGAGCGGCGCCGCA